RNAcentral lists this ribosomal RNA (448 nucleotides) under uncultured Burkholderia sp. RNAcentral describes it as "bacterial SSU rRNA". It matches the Rfam family "Bacterial small subunit ribosomal RNA", at positions 194 to 637 of the family's 1533-position model. Lineage: Bacteria; Pseudomonadati; Pseudomonadota; Betaproteobacteria; Burkholderiales; Burkholderiaceae. The record is from RNAcentral.
GGGGGAUCUUAGGACCUCUCGCUACAGGGGCGGCCGAUGGCAGAUUAGCUAGUUGGUGGGGUAAAGGCCUACCAAGGCGACGAUCUGUAGCUGGUCUGAGAGGACGACCAGCCACACUGGGACUGAGACACGGCCCAGACUCCUACGGGAGGCAGCAGUGGGGAAUUUUGGACAAUGGGGGCAACCCUGAUCCAGCAAUGCCGCGUGUGUGAAGAAGGCCUUCGGGUUGUAAAGCACUUUUGUCCGGAAAGAAAACGUCGUGGUUAAUACCCGUGGCGGAUGACGGUACCGGAAGAAUAAGCACCGGCUAACUACGUGCCAGCAGCCGCGGUAAUACGUAGGGUGCAAGCGUUAAUCGGAAUUACUGGGCGUAAAGCGUGCGCAGGCGGUCCGCUAAGACAGAUGUGAAAUCCCCGGGCUUAACCUGGGAACUGCAUUUGUGACUGGC